This 380-nucleotide ribosomal RNA is filed under the name uncultured eukaryote. RNAcentral's name for it is "partial 18S ribosomal RNA". It matches the Rfam family "Eukaryotic small subunit ribosomal RNA", at positions 592 to 976 of the family's 1831-position model. The record is from RNAcentral.
CAAUAGCGUAUAUUAAAGUUGUUGCGGUUAAAAAGCUCGUAGUUGGAUUUCUGCUGAGGAUGACCGGUCCGCCCUCCGGGUGAGUAUCUGGCUCAGCCUUGGCAUCUUCCUGAAGAACGUAACUGCACUUGACUGUGUGGUGCGGUAUUUAGGACAUUUACUUUGAGGAAAUUAGAGUGUUUCAAGCAAGCGCACGCCUUGAAUACAUUAGCAUGGAAUAAUAAGAUAGGACCUCGGUUCUAUUUUGUUGGUUUCUAGAGCUGAGGUAAUGAUUGAUAGGGAUAGUUGGGGGCAUUCGUAUUUAACUGUCAGAGGUGAAAUUCUUGGAUUCGUUAAAGACGGACUACUGCGAAAGCAUUUGCCAAGGAUGUUUUCAUUGA